CCUUAUACGAUGAUUACUCACGAUGAGUGUCCACACAGAUUGAUGGUUUAUACAGUUUAAGAGAAAGAACAUCCCCCAAGAUGUUCAACUUAGUGUCCCGUUCGUCUAGAGGCCUAGGACACCGCCCUUUCACGGCGGUAACAGGGGUUCGACUCCCCUACGGGAUACCAUUGGGUCGUUAGCUCAGUUGGUAGAGCAGUUGACUUUUAAUCAAUUGGUCGCAGGUUCGAAUCCUGCACGACCCACCAUUCUUCUCCACGAAGAAUCAAAACUUAUGUGGGCGAUUAGCUCAGUUGGGAGAGCACCUGCCUUACAAGCAGGGGGUCACUGGUUCGAGCCCGGUAUCGCCCACCAUUCUCUAAGUAUUUUUGGAAUAAAAUUUCAAAACCAGAACAAGCAAUUGAUACUGGUUGGUUUUUUUGACGCCUGUGCGGCGCGGCUGAAAGUCUUUAGAAAAUGUAACUUCCUCGUGAAGAAACAUAGCUCUUUAACAAUUUGGAAAGCUGACAAAACAACAAUUUAUUGUUGUUUGUAAAGUUCUCAAAGUAUUCAUGGUAUUUGAAUACAACUUAAAACACAUUCAAGUGUUCCUGGCUUUUUGGUUUCACUUUUUAUAAAAAGUUAAAUAAAAAGAUAUUUGAGUCCGGCAAAAUCGAAAUGUCUCUCGCUCAAUCAAAUUAUGAGAGACACUUUGGUGUUUACAUCAAUUCGAAACUCCUUCGGGUUGUAU
RNAcentral lists this transfer RNA (730 nucleotides) under Vibrio proteolyticus. Its description in RNAcentral is "partial 16S-23S ribosomal RNA intergenic spacer". The stretch from base 173 to 245 matches the Rfam family "tRNA". The record is from RNAcentral. Lineage: Bacteria; Pseudomonadati; Pseudomonadota; Gammaproteobacteria; Vibrionales; Vibrionaceae.